AGUGAGGAGCUCCUGUCGGAACUGGAACCCGCUUUACUUAAAAUCUUGAAUGAAUCUUGCCCAACGCCUCGGUUUACCUGAAUCCAGAGUGCAGAUCUGGUUUCAGAACAGAAGGGCCAAGUGGAGACAACUUCAUCGGGCACAUAUAUACAGAAACAUGAUUCCAGUGGCCAUGAGUCCCCCUGUGGGCGUAUACAUGGAUGAUCAUUAUGGCCCCAUCCCUAUUGUGGAGGUUAUUUGGAAAUAUCA
Cricetulus griseus (Chinese hamster) is the source of this 249-nucleotide non-coding RNA. The record is from RefSeq and is a predicted model, not a curated record. NCBI's taxonomy places the organism in Eukaryota, Metazoa, Chordata, Mammalia, Rodentia, Cricetidae.